Molecule: ribosomal RNA, 468 nt
Filed under: uncultured bacterium
Lineage: Bacteria
Description: partial 16S ribosomal RNA
Rfam family: Bacterial small subunit ribosomal RNA
Source: RNAcentral
GACGAACGCUGGCGGCGUGCUUAACACAUGCAAGUCGAACGGAAAGGCCCUGCUUUUGUGGGGUGCUCGAGUGGCGAACGGGUGAGUAACACGUGAGUAACCUGCCCUUGACUUUGGGAUAACUUCAGGAAACUGGGGCUAAUACCGGAUAGGAGCUCCUGCUGCAUGGUGGGGGUUGGAAAGUUUCGGCGGUUGGGGAUGGACUCGCGGCUUAUCAGCUUGUUGGUGGGGUAGUGGCUUACCAAGGCUUUGACGGGUAGCCGGCCUGAGAGGGUGACCGGGCACAUUGGGACUGAGAUAGGGCCCAGAGUCCUACGGGAGGCAGCAGUGGGGAAUAUUGCACAAUGGGCGGAAGCCGGAUGCAGCAACGCCGCGUGCGGGAUGACGGCCUUCGGGUUGUAAACCGCUUUCGCCUGUGACGAAGCGUGAGUGACGGUAAUGGGUAAAGAAGCACCGGCUAACUACGUG